This 758-nucleotide ribosomal RNA is filed under the name uncultured Pseudomonadota bacterium. Its description in RNAcentral is "bacterial SSU rRNA". It matches the Rfam family "Bacterial small subunit ribosomal RNA", at positions 8 to 760 of the family's 1533-position model. The record is from RNAcentral. Lineage: Bacteria; Pseudomonadati; Pseudomonadota.
AGAGUUUGAUCCUGGCUCAGAUUGAACGCUGGCGGCAGGCUUAACACAUGCAAGUCGAGCGGGGAAAAGUAGCUUGCUACUUAACUUAGCGGCGGACGGGUGAGUAAUACUUAGGAAUCUGCCUAUUAGUGGGGGACAACAUUUCGAAAGGAAUGCUAAUACCGCAUACGUCCUACGGGAGAAAGCAGGGGAUCACUUGUGACCUUGCGCUAAUAGAUGAGCCUAAGUCGGAUUAGCUAGUUGGUGGGGUAAAGGCCUACCAAGGCGACGAUCUGUAGCGGGUCUGAGAGGAUGAUCCGCCACACUGGGACUGAGACACGGCCCAGACUCCUACGGGAGGCAGCAGUGGGGAAUAUUGGACAAUGGGGGGAACCCUGAUCCAGCCAUGCCGCGUGUGUGAAGAAGGCCUUUUGGUUGUAAAGCACUUUAAGCGAGGAGGAGGCUACUCUAGUUAAUACCUAGAGAUAGUGGACGUUACUCGCAGAAUAAGCACCGGCUAACUCUGUGCCAGCAGCCGCGGUAAUACAGAGGGUGCGAGCGUUAAUUGGAUUUACUGGGCGUAAAGCGUGCGUAGGUGGCCAAUUAAGUCAAAUGUGAAAUCCCCGAGCUUAACUUGGGAAUUGCAUUCGAUACUGGUUGGCUAGAGUAUGGGAGAGGAUGGUAGAAUUCCAGGUGUAGCGGUGAAAUGCGUAGAGAUCUGGAGGAAUACCGAUGGCGAAGGCAGCCAUCUGGCCUAAUACUGACACUGAGUACGAAGC